This 303-nucleotide ribosomal RNA is filed under the name Triticum aestivum (bread wheat). Its description in RNAcentral is "partial small subunit ribosomal RNA". Lineage: Eukaryota; Viridiplantae; Streptophyta; Magnoliopsida; Poales; Poaceae. The record is from RNAcentral.
UGGGACAUUUUUGCAUGGAAGCCCGCUGACAUGCCAGGUGUUCCCAGGGGACUGGCUGAGCAUCGCUUAAGAGUCGACUCAUCUGCAAAACCAGUCCAAGAGCAUCUUCGGCGGUCCGCCGUCCAGAAGAGAAAAGCCAUUGGUGAAGAAGUGGCUCGACUGUUGGCGGCAGGAUUUAUCCGAGAGAUAUACCACUCCGAGUGGCUCGCUAAUGUCGUCAUGGUUCCUAAGAAGGACAAGUCGCUCCGAAUGUGCAUGGAUUUCAAGCACAUCAACCGGGCCUGCCCGAAAGAUCAUUUUCCU